UGACGCUGGCGGCUGCUUACACAUGCAAGUCGAACGGCAGCGCGGGGCAACUUGGCGGCGAGUGGCGAACGGGUGAGUAAUAUAUCGGAACGUACCCUGGAGUGGGGGAUAACGUACGAAAGUUACGCUAAUACCGCAUACGAUCUAAGGAUGAAAGCAGGGGACCGCAAGGCUUGUGCUCCUGGAGCGGCGAUAUCUGAUUAGCUAGUUGGUGGGGUAAAGGCCUACCAAGGCAUCGAUCAGUAGCUGGUCUGAGAGGACGACCAGCCACACUGGAACUGAGACACGGUCCAGACUCCUACGGGAGGCAGCAGUGGGGAAUUUUGGACAAUGGGCGCAAGCCUGAUCCAGCAAUGCCGCGUGAGUGAAGAAGGCCUUCGGGUUGUAAAGCUCUUUUGUCAGGGAAGAAACGGGUGGAGCUAAUAUCUCUGCCUAAUGACGGUACCUGAAGAAUAAGCACCGGCUAACUACGUGCCAGCAGCCGCGGUAAUACGUAGGGUGCAAGCGUUAAUUCGGAAUUACUGGGCGUAAAGCGUGCGCAGGCGGUUUUGUAAGUCUGUCGUGAAAUCCACGGGCUCAACCUGGGAAUUGCGAUGGAGACUGCAAGGCUAGAAUCUGGCAGAGGGGGGUAAAUUCCACGUGUA
Molecule: ribosomal RNA, 644 nt
Filed under: uncultured bacterium
Lineage: Bacteria
Description: bacterial SSU rRNA
Rfam family: Bacterial small subunit ribosomal RNA
Source: RNAcentral